CUCCCUGACCUUCCUUAUCUUUGAUUUUGUCUCUUCCUUAUGCUUGAAUAGGUCACCAAUCAUGUACUCUAAUUUCUUUUUCUCUUUCUUCAACUCAUCCCUCUCUUGCAUCACUUUGUCCAUCUCUUGCAUUACCUCAUCCCUCUCUUUCAUUGUUUUCCCCUCUCCUGAUUCAUGAGCUCAAGCUCUUGCUUAAUCAGCUCAAGCUCUUUCUCUGCCUUAGCCCUAAAUACUUGAUGAAUAUUUGUGGCAGAUUUGUCUGAAAUCUUCUUCUUCUCUAACUCUUCCUUUAGGUCACUAAGAGCAAUCUGUUUGUUUCCUACCUGAGCCAAUGCUUGCUCUUUGUCAGCUACCAUCUUAG
Molecule: long non-coding RNA, 361 nt
Filed under: Hordeum vulgare
Lineage: Eukaryota; Viridiplantae; Streptophyta; Magnoliopsida; Poales; Poaceae
Description: long non-coding RNA (HVUL_LNC010281)
Source: RNAcentral